This 819-nucleotide ribosomal RNA is filed under the name uncultured bacterium. RNAcentral's name for it is "bacterial SSU rRNA". It matches the Rfam family "Bacterial small subunit ribosomal RNA", at positions 8 to 802 of the family's 1533-position model. The record is from RNAcentral.
AGAGUUUGAUCCUGGCUCAGAACGAACCCUGGCGGCGUGCCUAACACAUGCAAGUCGUACGAGAAAAUCCGCUUCGGCGGGUGAGUAAAGUGGCGCACGGGUGAGUAACGCGUGGAUAAUCUGCCUUUAAGCGGGGAAUAACUUACCGAAAGGUGGGCUAAUACCCCAUAAAGCUAUGGAGCUCCGGUUUUCAUAGCCAAAGAGAGCCUCUGCAUGCAAGCCCUCACUUAGAGAUGAGUCCGCGUACCAUUAGCUAGUUGGUGGGGUAAUGGCCUACCAAGGCGACGAUGGUUAGCUGGUCUGAGAGGAUGAUCAGCCACACUGGAACUGAGACACGGUCCUGACUCCUACGGGAGGCAGCAGUGAGGAAUAUUGCGCAAUGGGGGCAACCCUGACGCAGCAACGCCGCGUGAGUGAGGAAGGUUUUCGGAUCGUAAAGCUCUGUCGGGUGGGAAGAAAUGUAUGGAGGUUAACAGCCUUUGUACUUGACGGUACCGCCAAAGGAAGCACCGGCUAACUCCGUGCCAGCAGCCGCGGUAAUACGGGGGGUGCUAGCGUUGUUCGGAAUCAUUGGGCGUAAAGAGCGUGUAGGCGGCUAGGCAAGUCAGAUGUGAAAUCCCUGGGCUUAACCCAGGACGUGCAUUUGAAACUGCUUGGCUUGAGUAGGGAAGAGGGAAGUGGAAUUCCAGGUGUAGGGGUGAAAUCUGUAGAUAUCUGGAAGAACACCGGUGGCGAAGGCGAGCUUCUGGCCAUAGACUGACGCUGAGGCGCGAAAGCGUGGGGAGCGAACAGGAUUAGAUACCCUGGUAGUCCACGCUG